GCGCGGACUCGGGCCGGGCGGGGGAGCCCCGGCUACGCAGCGGAGUCGGCUGGGCUUCGACGGUCAAGAGAAAUCCGCCGUGUGACAUCGUGACGUCUGACAAAUACGCGACUGUCCGCGCAGCUUCACAGUGCAACGUUUUCCCCUUCCAUCCAGCUUCUCUACGCCUGGCAUUUCUGGUUGCAGGAUUCCUGGAGGGUCAAGACAACCGUGUUCACACACUUAAUGAUGCUGUGUUGAGAGCACGGAAUUAGCACUCGGAGAGAUUCAAUGAGAAAAGCAGACAAGGAAACAAUAUGAUGAAUGCCCUGUCUUCCCGUCACUUUGUUCCCCUAACUUUCACCUAAUUACUACCAACUUUGCUCUCUCCUCGUUUUUACGUGAUUUUUACACAUUUUGACUUUGGCUUUUAAGUUGAGGCUUAUUUUGUUGCUGAAUGACAUUUCCAACAGCAAGGGGGAGAGAAUUUUUACCUGGAAAAUUUGAUUCAAAUGAUCUUAACCAGACUUCCCUAGCUUAUAUAACUUUAACUCCACCCAGUUUCUUUUAACACAAAUUAAGGACUUAGUCGACCACUGGUUUCUAACUUGUCCGAAAACUGUAUACUAAAUGUUUCAAUGACAGGUGUCAACUUUAAAUGUUUCUCCCUCAGAAACUACAAUCUCACCAGGUGUCAAAUGAGUAGAUAGUCACAGCUGCUGUGAGUAGAGCUGAAACACGAAACCUCUUGAUAUCUCUUCGUCAAUAGAAGGGAACAUGCAAACUUAGCUGGUUCUUAUGUUUGGGGUGAGUCGUAUAUAAUAAUCUUUGAGAUCUCGCUCUGACCGAGCCCUCUGAUGAAGUCCUGAUAUUUGUAGAGCCCCAAAUAGUUGGGGAAUAGAUCAGCAAUCAGAGAAAGGAAUAAGUAUGUUCAGUCAGCUGGGUCCCUGCCACCCCCAGAGCAGGUGCAUGUCUUUUCCUCCAGGCAUUCUGAAGUCAGGGAUACCCCCAAUCCCUUUACUUAACUCUAAUGCCUAAGUUUCACAAUGAUCUCAACAUUUCCCUAAGGAAACAGGUCCUUUAAAAUUAAAGUUUUUGUGUGUUCCCAUUUAGAGAUGUGGGGGGAAACAGACUGAGCAAAUAAUUAAAAUAGCAAAUAAACCUUCA
RNAcentral lists this long non-coding RNA (1146 nucleotides) under Equus asinus (donkey). RNAcentral describes it as "lncRNA (ENSEASG00005031558.1)". The record is from RNAcentral. Lineage: Eukaryota; Metazoa; Chordata; Mammalia; Perissodactyla; Equidae.